This 527-nucleotide ribosomal RNA is filed under the name uncultured bacterium. RNAcentral describes it as "bacterial SSU rRNA". It matches the Rfam family "Bacterial small subunit ribosomal RNA", at positions 373 to 917 of the family's 1533-position model. The record is from RNAcentral.
GGGCNAAGCCUGACCCAGCACGCCGCGUGAAGGAUGAAGUAUUUCGGUAUGUAAACUUCGAAAGAAUGGGAAGAAUAAAUGACGGUACCAUUUAUAAGGUCCGGCUAACUACGUGCCAGCAGCCGCGGUAAUACGUAGGGACCAAGCGUUGUUCGGAUUUACUGGGCGUAAAGGGCGCGUAGGCGGCAAUUCAAGUCAGCUGUGAAAUCUCUGGGCUUAACCCAGAACGGCCAGCUGAUACUGCUUUGCUAGAGUGCAGAAGGGGCAAUCGGAAUUCUUGGUGUAGCGGUGAAAUGCGUAGAUAUCAAGAGGAACACCUGAGGUGAAGACGGGUUGCUGGGCUGACACUGACGCUGAGGCGCGAAAGCCAGGGGAGCAAACGGGAUUAGAUACCCCGGUAGUCCUGGCCCUAAACGAUGAAUACUUGGUGUCUGGAGUUUUUAGUGCUCCGGGUGCCGUCGCUAACGUUUUUAGUAUUCCGCCUGGGGAGUACGCUCGCAAGAGUGAAACUCAAAGGAAUUGACGGA